CCUACGGGUGGCAGCAGUCGAGAAUCAUUCACAAUGGGGGAAACCCUGAUGGUGCGACGCCGCGUGGGGGAAUGAAGGUCUUCGGAUUGUAAACCCCUGUCAUGUGGGAGCAAAUUAAAAAGAUAGUACCACAAGAGGAAGAGACGGCUAACUCUGUGCCAGCAGCCGCGGUAAUACAGAGGUCUCAAGCGUUGUUCGGAAUCACUGGGCGUAAAGCGUGCGUAGGCUGUUUCGUAAGUCGUGUGUGAAAGGGGCGGGCUCAACCGGCGGACGGCACAUGAUACUGCGAGACUAGAGUAAUGGAGGGGGAACCGGAAUUCUUGGUGUAGCAGUGAAAUGCGUAGAUAUCGAGAGGAACACUCGUGGCGAAGGCGGGUUCCUGGACAUUAACUGACGCUGAGGCACGAAGGCCAGGGGAGCGAAAGGGAUUAGAUACCCGUGUAGUC
Molecule: ribosomal RNA, 446 nt
Filed under: uncultured bacterium
Lineage: Bacteria
Description: partial 16S ribosomal RNA
Rfam family: Bacterial small subunit ribosomal RNA
Source: RNAcentral